AAUGCUUGUGAAAUUGUACCUGCAGUAAAUAGAACUAUGACUGCAUACUGAAAUCAAACCUCCAGUAACAAUAUCAGGGCAGAGCUGGUACACAAAGUGGUCUUCAUAGAGACAGAGUCAGGCAGAUGGGAAACAUUACACCAGUUUUUCCUCAAGGGUAGCACUUAAGUAGUUCUCCACUUACAGAAAGGAAUCAUAGCAGGUUUGUAUCAAAGUAACUUCAGCCAAAGUUAUUUCUCUAAGAGGAGAUAAACAUCUCUUUUGGAAUUUCAUUGAUAACAUAUCAGAUAUGAUAAAUAUGGCACAGGAGUAAUGAGAGCCUUCAAAAGAUGCUCUUUGUCCCUGGGCCCUUCUCUGGGGAACACUGCAUCCAGAGGGGACACGCUGGAACAGCAGUUGCCUGUACAAAGCGCAGAAGCAGAUAUAUUCAAGUUACUGUAUUAAAUAAGUGUGCUGAUCACAGUAAUGCACCCUGCGCACUGCACUGAGCACCAGCAUCCCCAGCCCCACACCCAAAGGCUGCCAGGUUUCACUACUCAGCCCUUGUCCCUCCACUCCUCAGGAAGCAGCCAGAGUGGGGCAAGCAUCCGGCUCUCCAGGAGUGAAGUGAAGGGAAGCAAAUGUCUCUGUGCCCCAGCUGAUGCUUUGAGGAUGGGCUGUGAGCAAGCAGAACACGCUGUGUUGCACCAGGCCACAGCUUUUGGUGUGCACUCUCAUCCAGUCUGGCUGCUGGAAGCCACGCAGGCACAGCAGGAGUCCUGCAGGAGGGCUGAGCCACACACCAUUGCCUUUGGGCCCCCCAGCACCACAGCAGUGAGCUGCUGAGCCAUCAUGGUGCCUCUGGCCCACCAGGGCCUCAGGACAGCAGCCUCCUCCUGUCCUCACGUCAGCCCAAGGAGAUGGGACGACAUAUUGGCAAAAUAGAUGAGCUCAGCACAAAGGGCAAAGAAUAUGGUGAGCUUUCUGUAUUGACUUUGCUUUGUUCUCACUAAGAAAAAUGCCCUGAGAGUGAUGAGCCCUAAUGCAUUAGCCUUAGCAGGACAAAGUGUCAGCCAAAAACAUCCUAGGAAAAAGAAAGGGGAAGCAUCUAAAUGCUAAAACACUCCAGCUGACCCAUGUUCCAUUUCCCUUUUCUCAUUGCAAAUGUGUGGCUGUCCUCACGUCCAACCACAGCACAGAGCUGGGUUUAUGGCUGGGCACAGCAUGGAGCUGGGCUUAUAGUUGGGCACAGAGCUGGGCACAGCACAGAGCUGGGCAGCCUUUCCUGCAGCAAGAUGCUCUCCUGGCAGGACACAGUCCCACUGACUGUGGCAAGGCUGGGGUGAAGGGAACAGAGGGCAGCAGCAAGCAGCUCUGCUCUCAGCCUGGCUGGCACUGCUGUCCAUAAGGCCUCUGCUUGCUCUUUCAAAUGUACCUUCAUAAUCUUAAAUAAACUGACACUGAAGCUCUAGGUAAAACUGCUACAAAUGUUAGCCUUGCUUUUUUUUGUGCUGCUGUUUUAUUUAUUAUUGGCUUUCCAUUCCAAGUCUGCUGUUCUCUGGUUGGAGCCUGUACUGCGCAUGAAGAAAGGAAAAGUAACUGGAACACAACCCACAGCCACGUCCAUUAAUUCUUGUGGGGAAGGGCUUUUGGACUGAGAAGUAUAAGAACCUACUUGAACGUGUAUUUGAAUGUCUCCUCCAUUCUCCAGGCAGCAGUGAGCUACGUGAACUUUGUAAGAGGAGGUGACUUCUGGAGGUAGUAGCUGUGACUUAGCCCUAAAGCACAGCCACAGGGCCAGGCUUUCUCACCCCCAGCCUGGGCUCUCUCAAGAGGCUCCAGCCCAGCUGCUGGCACACAGACGUGUUCAAUUCAGUAGAGAAGAGAUGUGAAUCUUUAUCUGAAAGAUUACGUACAGCACAGGAAAACUUGCCAGCAAGAAAAUAAUGUGAAAACAGAGAUGAAGUUGACUGGAGUCCUGACUUACACAGUCUAAAGGGCAGCCAAACUGAGGGAAAUCAUGCAGGAAUAUGGGGCAAGCCAGUCAGACACCCCUAGAAAGCCAUGUCAUUUUUUUCCCCAGCCUCAGUGGGCUUUUGUUUAACCAUUAAAGUAGCUGGACAAAUUACCUAGAAAUGUUUGACCUUUGGAAAGGCCUCUGAGGCACAGCUGCCUGCUGUUCGCUGAACUGGUUCAUGUGGUUCCCACUCGGAAUGGUUUUUGAGGUUCACCCAAGCGUGGAAAGGGGUCUGGUUGUAUCGGUGAGGGAACUGAGAAGAUAAACUUAGGAAGGAGUGAGAAAAGCACCAGGGAAUUUUACAUGUUAUAUUUGCAUCAAAGGAAGGAAAGGGCACACAAAUGUACCAACCUGAAGUAGCUCGUUGGCUUUGAACUUCAAAAGAAAGUUACAGAGCAAAGAGCUGAGGUAGCAGUGGCCUUUGGGACAGUCUGUUUCACAGAAUCAGGUAGGAACUACAGAAUGCAAUGCAUUUAGCUUUUUUAGCCGCAGGAAUUUUUUUUUUUUUUAAUGGUAAAAAUAUAACAGAAAUGCUACAUUCCUGCAUUCCCCUUUCAACUUUAUUUUCCUUCUGCUCUUGCAGUCACUGUACGCAGGAGGUUGCUUGGUUGUACCAUUUCAGAGCUCGCUGCAGGGCCUGGCCGUGCCCCUUCUGCUGCCAUUUCAGCUCUUUCCACUGCAUGGCACCAGAACAAUUGGAAGGCAUAACCAGGUGCACACGACAGUACGACUUCAAUAGCUCAGUGUUGGCAGAGGCACAAAGUGCUAUUUCUCUGCCGCCCCUCUGUCCUGAGCUGCAGCAGCACUACCGGGGAAAGCAGGGACGGGCCCUUCUGCUGCAUGAGGUCAGGAGAGGCUGAAGUCUGCUUAGAACUGGGGAGCUGGAUUCCUACCUCUUCUUGCGCCGCGCAGCCCGUUGCGGGCUGUGCGUGCAGGCGGCCGCACCACCUGUAGGCGGCAGCGGAUGAUCGCGCUGCGGGCGGGCGCUGCUCCGUGAGCUGUCGGGGCUGUGCGUGCGGCUGUGCGUGGGGCUGCGCCCACACCGGUACGUGGGCUCAGCGAGAGCACUUCAGGUUUGGAUCCUGAGUGCUUGACUCGCGUUUCCUUACAAUUUUGGAUCUGCUGCUUUUCUGCACGGUUCAUGGAGUUGGAAUAAGAUUGUCCUAUGGGGCAACGCACAGCAGAUUAGGAACGUGCUCACAUGAGGUGAUCCAAAAGUGCUCUUUUAUGAGCGUUUGUUCUCCUUCCAGCUCAGGAGCAGCGCUGGGCGAGACUCACCUCCCUGCACGGGGAUGAAGAACAUCAUAAUAUGUUUGAAGCAAAGAACUGCAGAUAGGGAGAUUUUCAAAAAGCCAUUUGUUUACCUGGGUGAGGCAUUCAGACCAAAAGCGAAGGGUUAUUCAGGAAAGAACUCAAGCAUGUGGCUACAGCACUGGAGCAGACCCAUUCAGCCUCAGCUCGCAGCAGCACAGCUAGGGGUGCAGUGGGGUUCAUCAGGCCAGCACCUCCUCCUGGAGCUGAGCACAAGCCUGCACUCCUGGAUCAUGCCAUCCUGGCCAUUUAUUUGCCUGAAACUUAAACCUAUGCACUUCUCCUGGUGGUUGCAAAGUUUGCCACGCUCUGUCAAGCCUGCAGCGAUUACUUAUGGGCCACAGAUGGAUGCCUCAGCUCACUGGAGAGAUGUGUCCUGUAAUGCAUGCUGCUUGUUCACAGCUGAUCCCGAAAGAAGCUGACAUAAGGGCAUCAAGGAGCAUAAUUUUCCAGAAAUGCACUCCCUGCAUUUCUGACUGAAAGGGUAUGUGCAGAGUGGUUCACUGUGGCAGAGACUGAAGUGUUUGAGAGGUUUGUACUCCAGCCUGCUAUUAACUAUUGGUAGCACUGACUGCAGGGCUGCAGGCAGUGCAUGCUUUUAGCUUGAAUUUUCACUUCUUCAUUCUGGAAGGAAGAAUGGGAGAAAUGUUCUGGGUGCAAAUUCCGUGUGUGUCUCACGCCAUCUGCUAAUAGCAUGUGUGAGCUGCUCUACUGCCAGAAACCAGGAACAAAGAUAACAUCACUGCAGAGAGAACUGCCCUGCUCCCAAGUGAGGCUCGUACUGCAGGUAACCCGAUCACUCCGCACCCACUGGGGCCGAGCCUAGGGCAGUCCUGUUCACCUGACACUUGCAUAAACCUAGGACGGUGUCACUCAAACCAGUGUGGGACCUUAGAUGCAAAGCUGUUCCUGCUGAGCCCAGCAGAUAAAUAAAGUUCAUAAUCCAUUCAAUACGAUGGCCCUGUUGGAAUCCCAGAGAUGAAGUUAUUCGGGAGGAGGAAGUACAAAAGCCAAAGAAGCCUCCCCAUCUAAACCCUGUUCAGGCAACUUGCAGACGAGGCAGGGAGUACAGUCUGCAGUGGAACACUGAGGAAACUGUCACAGAAGCUACCGCUGGUCCUGAGCACAUUCACCAGAGUCUUGAGAGUCUGCUGUGCCACAGCUGGAUGCUCAUCCAUCUGAGAACCAGGCUUUUCUCUGCCUUUCCACAGCCUGCAAUGCAGUCAGGAAGCAAAGGAUACUAAGGGAUGUUAGCAGCUGCCAAACUGCCAGAGUUACCACAAGGCCUGACGACACGCUGCUGCUGCACCAGGCAGGAUGGGACGGCGGGCUUGUCUGCACUGCUGGAAAGCAAGCAGCCAGGAACGGGCACGCACAAGCAACCUGCAGAGCUCGGUGACCACAUUUCUUUGGUGUCUGCUGCCCAGCUGGAAAAGAGGUGUGCCUCUCAGAGUGUGCAGCCCUGAGGACCACAGAGGGAGGUGGGAGCAGCACAGUGGAAGGCAGGUAUACAAAACCCCACAGAGGAAUUGCAUUUUCCUACUCCUCAUUUGUUAUUCUACAUGGUAAUGUAUUAAUUCCUUCACUAAACUCCUUUGAUUAUUUUUAUUACCCUCCUGAUGUCACUCUGAAUAUUACUGUUAUCCUUAUAAAUACACAAAGCCCUUUCUGAAGAAUUUUAGCCAUCCAACCAACAUGCCCUGUGACCUUGAAGUCAGUACACUCAAUUCAUCAGUUGAAUUGAAAAUAACUGAGCUUUGGGUGAAAAAUUCACUACGUAUCCCUAAGGCUCAUACAUUUGGUAUGGUUUAAGGUGUAAGUAAGUGUGCAUAAAAUGAAUAUCAUUCUAAUGGGCUUUGUAUUUUCUUAGAUGGACCUUGACGAUGUUGGCAAUACGUCUCCAUGCAAAAAAACAAAGGUGUGUUUAUAAAGGCAUGUGCCAGGUUAAAGAGACAAAUGCUGUAUCAUACAGAGGUUUACAUUAAAGAGAGGAAUUACUUGAAGUUGAUGUGGGCAAAGCAUACCUCUGUGUUUAAUUCAUUAUGGGUAUAUGUGAAGGCCCACACUCCAUCUUGCAAACCUUGCAAGGGUUUGUCCAGGCGGAAAGAGCCCUGCAGAUGCCCCAGGCCUGGCCAGGAGCGCCCAGCUUUGCCAGCAACAACCUGGCAUGCUGCUGCUGGCAGGGCCUCAUCUGCCCGGUGAGCUGCACGGGCAGCCGCAGUGCAGUAGAUAUUGGAGAUACUGCUCUGAGGGAAGCACCUGCAAGGCCACCACUGCUCCAUAUGGGUCUGCUGGGGGCAGGAGUAGCAGCAGACAAGAGGGCAUGCAACAUGGGCCCCAGCUGCAGUGUUUGAAGGCCUGGAAACAGGAAUGCAUCCAUUCUCCUCCAGUUUAAUACAAAACUCCUGAUCCUCAAGAAUACCAGCUGUGAGUUGACGUUAAUGUCAGUGAAUAGCAAAUAGACCCCUGACACCAAUCUGGAUCACGUUUCAUUGCAGAAGGAUUGUCUUCAAAUAGACUGCCACUGGUUCUAUGUUUAGGACCUAUUUUCCAUGCUUGCUGAUAGUGUCCUGCUUCUUUCCAAAGCUACAUAACCUCAGUGUCCUGGCUAGCUUUGGGCCCAGCCCCUUAAGUCACACUCCCUUGAAUAAGCCUUAUCCAUGAAUACAGUGAGUCUCAUGUCAUGACAAAAAGCUUUAAUAAAACGAUGUUCUGGGAGCACAAUGAAAAGCCAAUCUAAUCAGUACCCAGCUAAGGCAGGGAUGAAUGCACGAUAGGCAGCUUUUUUACAUUUAUCACCAGGCCCUAACAGCCCCAAAAUAACCACACAUGUUGAGUAACCAACAAGAAGAAGCCAAUUUCUGAAGACCUACCUAGAUAACAUAGUUCUUCUUUUCAGUACAUAAAUCCUGAAUAGGACUCUGGAAUCAUGAAAAUAAUUAGGGUGAUGAUAACAAUAAAUUUAAAAUAUUUUCCAGACAAGAAGCUGAGGAAGUCUCUAGGGAGGUCUUUUGGUGGACUUCAUAAAUCUUAACACCGUUUUUAAUUAAGUAUUAGUUAUUUCAUAAUCCACAUUGUUUACUUAGCAACUGCUUUGGUAUUGAGUAUGCUAUCCUGGCAACAUACAUUUUUGCCAUAGGCCAGGAUCACAAAACACUAUUUGAAUCAUCUGUCAUCCCCAGUCUGCCUACGUUGUUAUUCUAUAGCUGCAGAUCGCAAGAUGAUGAACAAUGCUGGAUAUUCAUCAACCUUAUUUCAAACAUGGAGUAACUAUGAUGUAAUGAGAUUAAGAAAUCUGCUUGAUGCCAUUAAAUGAAUUAGCAGCCAUACAAAGAUUAGAAAACAUUUCCCUAUUCCUGGCUCUGCUCGUAAUCCACUGGACACGAACGCCCGAACCACUUCUUACUGCCAUUCGCAGUUUCAGCAAAGGGGUGCACUGAAGGAGGCAUUAAUUCACUCCUCAGGGCUUUUUAAGAGACUUUUAAGUGACCGAAAGAGGACUUCAGAUGCUUCAAAGAAGAGAGAACGAUGGCACUAUGGUGUCACUUCGGGGACUGAAAUUCAGUCUGCAAAAGCUCAUACAAAUUCAAAAGAAGGAGAAUCGUGUUUAUGCAGAGCUGAGGCUCUGUGCAUAUAGAAGUGUGGGUUUUGGUAGACGUUGUGAGCUUCAGGAGGCCGUUGAAGGGAAUAAAGCACAAAUAUACAGCCAUGAUAUUUUACGAUGUUUCCUUUCUUAGGCCUUUUUGGGGGUUAUCAAAUCUUUGGUGGAUAUUUGGCAUAUGGUUAAGUAAACUCAGGAGGAAAACCUAAAGGUAAGAAAUUGAAGCAACUGAUUAUGCAAAUUCUAAACUUUUCACAGUUAUCCACUGAGGACUGCUUAGGUCCUUUGUGUUACCAGAAGUCCUGCAGUCAGGACGUACACAGCCUCUUUAUGACUUCCACGUGAUAGUGCAGUUGUUCCAGAUGGAUAUCAAUUCAAUUAAGAGCAAAGAGUGAUUUGAGCUAUAUUCAGUGAAUUUGGAAGUACCGUUGACAUCAAAUUGCUUUGCCUCUGGUGGGUUUUUUUAAGCACCCACACAAGUCACUAUGUUUAAUUUUUAAAAAACCCUUAUAAAUACAACAUAUGAAGGAAAACACUGCUAGAUUAUUCUCUUCUUCUUGGUUUAGAACCUUUGACAGUAAGCUUACAAUUCUAACACAUCACUGACGUCCAUGCCUUCCAAGACAUUCUGGAACUUUCUCUUUGCAACACAGCAUGGAGGAGGCUGAGGAUAAGUGGUUGCAAGUUUACACAUUAUAAGAGAUGUGAUGUGAGCUUGUAAUUCAGGUUCUGUGUCAUCUGUGGGAAAAACCAUAGAAUGCUCAUCUCUACUCCUUGCACACACCCAGAUGUGGUAUCAGAUUCUGAUCUCUUUAAUCAUUAAAACUUUUCAUUAUUAUUUGAA
This is a long non-coding RNA of Gallus gallus (chicken), 7752 nucleotides long. RefSeq lists it as uncharacterized. The transcript is spliced from 5 exons. NCBI's taxonomy places the organism in Eukaryota, Metazoa, Chordata, Aves, Galliformes, Phasianidae. The record is from RefSeq and is a predicted model, not a curated record.